RNAcentral lists this ribosomal RNA (564 nucleotides) under uncultured ciliate. Its description in RNAcentral is "SSU rRNA". It matches the Rfam family "Eukaryotic small subunit ribosomal RNA", at positions 397 to 972 of the family's 1831-position model. Lineage: Eukaryota; Ciliophora. The record is from RNAcentral.
UGAGAAAUGGCUACCACAUCUAAGGAAGGCAGCAGGCGCGUAAAUUACCCAAUCCUAAUUCAGGGAGGUAGUGACAAGAAAUAACAACUCGGACCCCAUUCGGGGUUACGGGAUUGCAAUGAGAACAAUUUAAACCACUUAUCGAGCAACAAUUGGAGGGCAAGUCUGGUGCCAGCAGCCGCGGUAAUUCCAGCUCCGAUAGCGUAUAUUAAAGUUGUUGCAGUUAAAAAGCUCGUAGUUGAAUUUCUGGUGAGCGUUGUUCUCGGCUCUCUGAGUCGGUUCAAUGUUUCAUCAUCCGUAUGGGAAGCUAGCUCGGCCUUCACUGGUCGGUUAGUGGAUCAUACACUUUACUUUGAAAAAAUUAGAGUGUUUCAGGCAGGCAAUUGCUUGGAUACUUCAGCAUGGAAUAAUGGAAUAGGACUUUGACCUAUUUGUUGGUCUCUUGAGGUCAAGGUAAUGAUUAAUAGGGACAGUUGGGGGCAUUCAUAUUUAAUUGUCAGAGGUGAAAUUCUUGGAUUUAUUAAAGAUGAACUUAUGCGAAAGCAUUUGCCAAGGAUGUUUUCA